RNAcentral lists this ribosomal RNA (716 nucleotides) under bacterium IMCC11786. RNAcentral describes it as "bacterial SSU rRNA". It matches the Rfam family "Bacterial small subunit ribosomal RNA", at positions 28 to 741 of the family's 1533-position model. The record is from RNAcentral.
AUUGAACGCUGCGGCAGGCCUUACACAUGCAAGUCGAGCGAGAAAUUUUCUUCGGAAAAGAGUAAAGCGGCGGACGGGUGAGUAACGCGUAGGAAUCUACCUAGUAGUGGGGGACAACAUGUGGAAACGCAUGCUAAUACCGCAUACGCCCUAUGGGGGAAAGCAGGGGAUCUUCGGACCUUGUGCUAUUAGAUGAGCCUGCGUCGGAUUAGUUUGUUGGUAGGGUAAUGGCCUACCAAGACUACGAUCCGUAGCUGGUCUGAGAGGAUGAUCAGCCACACUGGGACUGAGACACGGCCCAGACUCCUACGGGAGGCAGCAGUGGGGAAUAUUGGACAAUGGGCGCAAGCCUGAUCCAGCCAUGCCGCGUGUGUGAAGAAGGCUCUAGGGUUGUAAAGCACUUUCAGUAGGGAGGAAAAGUUAGUAGUUAAUAACUGCUAGCCCUGACGUUACCUACAGAAGAAGCACCGGCAAACUCCGUGCCAGCAGCCGCGGUAAUACGGAGGGUGCGAGCGUUAAUCGGAAUUACUGGGCGUAAAGCGCGCGUAGGCGGUUUGAUAAGCUGGAUGUGAAAGCCCCGGGCUCAACCUGGGAACUGCAUCCAGAACUGUCUGACUAGAAUACAAUAGAGGUGAGUGGAAUUUCCUGUGUAGCGGUGAAAUGCGUAGAUAUAGGAAGGAACAUCAGUGGCGAAGGCGACUCACUGGAUUGAUAUU